CGAGCUUUGUUCUCCCAGUCUAGCCUGAGUCAGAGCUGCUUGCUGUUUGCGUCCUAGGCCACGAGGACUGUCGCUCUUCCUUCAAACGUUUGUAUUAUUAACGUGGUAGACAAAUCCAACCUUGAGAGUGAGGCCGAUAUCUGGCGCGACAGCCACUGGACCUGAGACAUGUUAACUUUUCUCUGCAUUAAGUUAUUUGUUUAGGUAAACAUUUUUGGAGGCACAGUAUGGGCACAUAAUGUGAACUGAACGAAGGAAACCGAAUACUUUAGGCAGGGUCGACAGGGCUGAGUUGAUGCUGUUUGUAUUUCUAUUAUCUGGAUUCAGGCAACAAAAGUUGAGAUUGUAAUAAUGCCUUACAUUUAUUACUAUACAUUUUCACACCCUUUUCAUAUGUGUCAUAGAAUUUGUGCCCAUAAUUGGGAUAGUAUUCAUUCACUGGUAAUUAAAAGUGUUCUGGAUGAUUUUCAAGUGCUGGCUAGGUUCUGGAGAUAGACACAGCACCAAAUAAAACAAGACUCUACCUUCGUGGAAUUUAAAUUCAAGGAGGGGGAGACAUAAACGUCUACAUAAAUCAGGUAGUGGCGACAGGAAACAAAAGCCGGGUAGAUGAGAUGGGAAGUUAGAGGCUGGAGAGGGCAGGACUUUUUGAAGAGGCAGCAUUUGAAUAGACUCCUUGAGGAAGCACUGAAACCAAAUAUUUAUUAAGGCUCUGGACCCCACCCCACCAAACCUCAACUAUAUUUCAAAACCACAUCAUUUGGCGCCUGAACGUGGGGCUUCCGAGUCUUUUCGUCCGGACUCUGAGCUUUGGUGCAAACUUGGAAAACAUGGCGUCUGCUCCUCUGUUGGAGUUGAUGAGCUCUGGAACUGGGAACCCUUUCUCUGCCUUCGGCAGCGCUUCGCCUCUUCUGCCUCCCCUUCUCCCACCUCCUGUUUCUGCACCACCUUGGGUGUGGCCUUCGUAACUGGCUUCUAUACAUCCUCCAUGCAAGCAUGGCUCCUCCCUUCGCUGUCAAGAGGCAAGAAGAGCACCUCCUGGGUCUAACACCGCCUACUCCAGAUCUCUCCACCAGUGUCUCAGAGAGAGAGACAGCCAGCGAGCGAGAGAGAGAACACAAGCAGGAGGAGUGGGAGAGGAAGAAGCAGACUCCCAGCGGAGGAGCCUGAUGUGGGGCUCGAUCCCAGAACGCCAGGAUCACACCCUGAGCUGAAGGCAGAUGCUUAACGACUGAGCCAGGCGCCCCUUAUUUUACGGGAUUUAAGAGACAAAUGCAUGGGGAUAAUUAGGAAUCUAUGUCAAAGGGUAUACAAUACAUAAAGAUGUAAUUUGUGAUCUCAAUAACAGAUAGUAUUAGUUGUAUCCAGUGCAGUUUUUGAUUGUGUGUGAUUGAAGUCAAGUUGGUAUCGAUUUGAAAUAGAUUGUUACAACUUUGAUAUGCAAUCCCCAUGGUAACCACAAAGAAAAUAUUUAUAGAAUACAAAAGGAAAGGAGGAGGGAAUCAAAAGUGUCACUACAAAAAAAAAUAAA
RNAcentral lists this long non-coding RNA (1531 nucleotides) under Ursus maritimus (polar bear). RNAcentral's name for it is "lncRNA (ENSUMAG00000015501.1)". The record is from RNAcentral. Lineage: Eukaryota; Metazoa; Chordata; Mammalia; Carnivora; Ursidae.